UUUUAAAGUCAUCAGCUCGCAAAUCCUCCAAACACUCCAAGAGGACCUUUGUAGGUGUCGCCAUCUUUUGUCCUGCUAAGAUCUGAAAGCCUGCUUUUCCCUCCACACCUGUCCUGCAUCAGCCUCGUCAGCCCUGCCCUGUUCCAUUUGUUCUCCCAGCCAAUCGGCUCCCUUCCUGUUCUCCUGCCUAGUCACCUGUUCCCUGUUCCCUCGUUAGUUCUGUCUGUAUUUAAGUCCAGUUUUCAGUUCAGUCUUUAUUGAAUAGUCUGUUCAUUCUGCCUGUUCCUGAGCUGCAGUUGUUGUUAAGUUUCAAUAAAUAUCUGUGCUU
Molecule: long non-coding RNA, 328 nt
Organism: Thunnus maccoyii (southern bluefin tuna)
Lineage: Eukaryota; Metazoa; Chordata; Actinopteri; Scombriformes; Scombridae
Exons: 2
Source: RefSeq, a predicted model, not a curated record